This 53-nucleotide small nuclear RNA is filed under the name Erinaceus europaeus (western European hedgehog). Its description in RNAcentral is "U7 small nuclear RNA (ENSEEUG00000023258.1)". It matches the Rfam family "U7 small nuclear RNA". From Rfam's summary of the family: Animal histone pre-mRNAs are spliced by a different mechanism than nuclear pre-mRNAs and self-splicing introns. This processing involves the U7 snRNP, which contains only one RNA species: U7. Lineage: Eukaryota; Metazoa; Chordata; Mammalia; Eulipotyphla; Erinaceidae. The record is from RNAcentral.
UAGUGUUACAGCUCUUUUAGAUUUGUCUAGCAGUCUUCGGUACUGAAGACCCC